This 2414-nucleotide long non-coding RNA is filed under the name Mus musculus (house mouse). Its description in RNAcentral is "long non-coding RNA chr4:54278925-54281339". Lineage: Eukaryota; Metazoa; Chordata; Mammalia; Rodentia; Muridae. The record is from RNAcentral.
UAGUGUUCCAGGAUCUAUCUGCUCAGAGAGGAGAGUCUGUGGCAGAAAGUAUUUGGGGCUGGACUAUACAGAGACACCCAGCCAGAUGAUGAAGGUGGAACUCAGUCCUGAGUGCCACCAAAGCUACUGAGAGGCUCAUCAUUAGGUUGAAGUCUUUAAAGAACACAGAGAAACACAGAGGGUGGUGAAACAAAAGAGAUGAUUUCUUUACAGUUUACCCUGGCUUCCAUACUGCUUCAAGAACCCCUGUGGUGUCACCAUGAAACAGCUAAGAUUGGAAAGAAAAAAAAGCCUUCAGAUACUAUGUUAAACACUCUGUCAAAAACCGCGAUAGAGAGAAGAUUCAGCUUAGGGCAUACGUUGCCAAGAAGAGCUGGGAGAGACAUGGUUAAUCUGGGCUCGGUCACCAUCUGAAUAAAAGAAUCUAAGGGAGCUAACUGUGUCAGUUUCUCACUCCAGCCGAUUACAAAUUAUUCUGUUUCUGGCAGAGGUAUACUUGCUGGCUGUUUCAUGUGGUAACACGGGCUUUGAAAAGGGAAACACUAGUGUUAGUGAAGGGUGUAGCUAGCAAUUUGAAAUUGGUACACACAGCAGUCAGUCCAUUGCUCCCCAUCCUCAUCAUUCCCCCCCCAAAGUAGGUUUGCCAUUAAACACAGUGUGAGAUCCUGCCCAGUGGGGAUGCAAGCCCUCCACCCUCUCCCCGUGCCUCUGUCUCAUUCAGACACAACAGAAAUAAGACAAACUCACAUUCCGAUAGCUCUUUGGAAGUACUUUAUCAUUGAGCAUCCUGCGUCCUCAUCUUUUCAGAGGACACAAGGUAGGAGCGAAGAUGAUGGCCAGAAGAGAAAGGGUGGCAGAGAAGGAAGCAAUAAGAUGAGAACACACUUAUGUAUCUAUCAAAAAGGGCAAGGAUGGAAGAGAUUGGGAAACUAGCUUCACGCACUUUCAUGAGCAAAUAUCAAAACUCUUAUGCUAGGUUGUGAAAACCCCAAGCAGACAAGACAGUCUCUAGCAUCAAGUUGUUCAGGUUUGGCUGGGGAGGACUAUGCACAGAAGUAUACCACAUAUAAAACCUUGGAAGUAUUUAAUUGGCAUGGAAGCCACUGCAUUAGAAAUCAUGGUAGUGCAAGAGAAAAGGAUUAAUAGCAAAAUGUAAUUAGUUUGAUUGUUUGUGUGUCUGUCUGGAGACAGAAGUGUGGGUAUGUGCCAUAGUGCCAAUACAGAGGCCACAGGACAACUUCCCGGACUCAGAUUCCAUCCAUCCCUGUGGGUCCCAGGGAUGGAACUCAGGUCAUCAGUCUAGGUGACAAACACCUUUGCAUACUGAGCCAUCUCACUGAGAAAGGAUCUUUUCCAGGGGAAAAUAUGACUUAGCUGUUGUUCAGAUGUCUGUAAUGGGGAGAUACACUCCAACGAGAGCACAGUCAGAGGGGCAGUGGCAGCAUUGCUGGUCCUAGAAUGAGAAAUCCUCUGAUGGCAGUAUGAUUAAAAGGUGAGCAGUGAUGGGAAGGAACAUGGGUGGGACCAAGAGGGAGGCCUAUGGCAGACCAUGGGUCUGGUGAAUAUGAGCAUGCUGCUGGUAUCCAUGGAUUUCUCUUAAAGCAAGAGGGUAGCAGGAGAAAGCUUUCAGGUAUGGAAGAGCUGUGAUCAUUUUCAAAAGCUUCUUCGCAAGGCAGAAUGGAUAAUGAGCAGCAGGAGAGAAAGACUGAAGGGAUGGAGACGAAAGCCAUCCAUGGAAACAGGAGGGAGCCGAGUUCCUGUGAUCGCUACAGACAUCUGGAACCUGUGCUUGGUCUUAUUAAAGGUAAUAGUUUUAACACCUUCUAACUCUACUUCAUUCAACCUGUGUGUUCCAAGUUCGUGUGUUGAAAUUCAGUCCCUAAGGCAGUGAUCUUAAGAGAGAAGGCCUUUGGGAGAGCACAGAUCUAAGGAGUGGAACAAGUUCUCUUAGAAAAGAGGCCCAAGGGGCUCAUUUACCUUGUCUUUCUGUGAGACAGUGAGAAGGUAUGGGAAUGAAGCAGAGAGCAAGCUCUCAGUUAGCACAGACAUUUGUCAGCUCUUGAUCUCACAAUUCCCAGCCUGCAGAACUGUACGGAGUUCUUUGGCAUAUAAGUUCCCUAGUCUGAAGUAGUUUGUGAUAGCCGACUAAGUAGACUCAGACACUACCACUGUUCUACAUGUUACAAUGAUAAACCAGCCUUAGUUUUCUGUCUUCCAUUCAUUUUCCAUAUUAGGUACCAGCUAUAUCGUUCCCAAUCCUACCAGUUCUGGGAUCCCAUUGCCAGAAUGUACAACUAUUCUUCACUCCCACUGGCUAUGCGUCCUUUCACAAGGAAUGGAAACUUCUUAUUGUCUGAAUUCCUAAUUAGAGAUAUCUGUAAUCAUUGUACUCACCUUUUUAGACCAUUAUUCUC